AUUGAACGCUGGCGGCAGGCCUAACACAUGCAAGUCGAGCGGAUGAAGGGAGCUUGCUCCUGGAUUCAGCGGCGGACGGGUGAGUAAUGCCUAGGAAUCUGCCUGGUAGUGGGGGAUAACGUCCGGAAACGGGCGCUAAUACCGCAUACGUCCUGAGGGAGAAAGUGGGGGAUCUUCGGACCUCACGCUAUCAGAUGAGCCUAGGUCGGAUUAGCUAGUUGGUGGGGUAAAGGCCUACCAAGGCGACGAUCCGUAACUGGUCUGAGAGGAUGAUCAGUCACACUGGAAGUGAGACACGGUCCAGACUCCUACGGGAGGCAGCAGUGGGGAAUAUUGGACAAUGGGCGGAAGCCUGAUCCAGCCAUGCCGCGUGUGUGAAGAAGGUCUUCGGAUUGUAAAGCACUUUAAGUUGGGAGGAAGGGCAGUAAGUUAAUACCUUGCUGUUUUGACGUUACCAACAGAAUAAGCACCGGCUAACUUCGUG
This 484-nucleotide ribosomal RNA is filed under the name uncultured bacterium. RNAcentral describes it as "partial 16S ribosomal RNA". It matches the Rfam family "Bacterial small subunit ribosomal RNA", at positions 30 to 507 of the family's 1533-position model. The record is from RNAcentral.